RNAcentral lists this long non-coding RNA (936 nucleotides) under Setaria viridis. Its description in RNAcentral is "long non-coding RNA (SVIR_LNC003780)". The record is from RNAcentral. Lineage: Eukaryota; Viridiplantae; Streptophyta; Magnoliopsida; Poales; Poaceae.
GGGAUUGGAACUAAUUAACCGAUGAGCCACUAAAAAUAGGUUAUUCGAGCAAGUCUAGUCACAAGAGCCAAUAGAGACAAGGAAAGGGGCGAUAUUGAUAAGAAAUUAGACAGAGUUGAGGAAGGCGAUAGAGGGACAUGGCGAGGUCUCAUAUGCGAUGACGACAAGGAAGGAGAUUGUAGAAAGUUGGUAUAAAAAUCAUGAUGGCGGGUGAUGGGGCUAGGAUGUGUGGGGUGAUAGUAGGAGUGACAAAGGCAAAAAAAAAGUAUUGUCAGAAGAAAUUCAGGCUUGGGGAUCCCACAUCACUCAAGUGAUAUAUGUAGAUUGACCCAUACUUAAUUUAUCUUCUAAUAUGAAGAGAGUAGGAGCAAUACAUACCUAGAUAUAUCAAUCCUACCUUUUAUUUAUUAGUUCAAUAACUUUAGUUAGCACCAUGUCAUAUUGGUGCACGGGAGCACAACCCGCGCCCAUGGGUCAACCCAGCGCACAAGCAUAGGCUAUAUCAACUCUUGUUUUUUGAGAGGAUCAACUCUUGUUUUGACGUGAGCUGAGAUAGGAACAACAUAAUACAUAUUAGAAGAAGUAAUAAGCCUAGAGUACGAUGCACGACAUCACAAAAUUCUUGCCAUCUAAUUUACAUUAACGUUCGCUACUCCCGUAUCUAAUUAUUUCUAUUUUUAAUUCCAUAUGUACAAUUUUUAUCCUUAGGGGUGAGUUACAAAACACAACACAUUGCAUAUGUUUUGAAUUUAAUACUAUGUAAUGAAAAGUGUGUGCAAUGGUGCUUGAAACUUAUGUGUAAACUUGCUAACAUUUUUUUACAUAGGUUGUUAACAGGCAUGCAACAUAAUAAGAUGCUACAAAAUCUUUAUGUGAAUUGUUUUCUUACAUACAACAUCAUAAGAUGGGGGCAUUUAUUGCCUUAUCUUCUCUUUC